AUGGAUUAAAUAACUAAUGAGAAUUACGGAGUGCACUUGUGAUGAACACCAGGUGUUGAAUGUUAAGUGUUGAAUCAUUAUAUUAUACACUUGAAGCUAAUAUUAUACUAUGUUAACUAGAAUUUAAAUAAAAACUUAAAAAAAUAAAUGUUAUUAAAUAAAAGCUGAUUUGGUAGUCAAAAAAAAUUUUUGUAAUGCAGACAUUUUGAGGUGGGUGAAAGGGAAGCCUACAAAAUUCAGUAACUGGGAAGUACAAUUGUUUGAGGUGAUGGCCAACCCCUAACUCAGUUGCAAGCAGACAGAGAGCAUUGGAAGUGAAACCAAACGAAGUUUAAGUAAAGAGAUCUGGUUGUUAAAGUCACCAAAAAUGAGGGAAGGAGCAGAUGAGAACAAGAGAAUAUGUUCUCAUAUGAAACAUUAUUUCCAGGUAUGUCCGUGAAGGUGUUCCCCGCUCAUCUGAAUUGGUGGAUUCAGUAAAGUAGACUGCCCCGCCUCCACUGUGGCUUGGAACACAAAAGCAAUGCUUGAAGGAGCAGUAGCCAUCUUGCCUGAGGCUGAGAGUCUUCAAGUACCAACUAAUUUGUUCUGGAGAUGCAAUUGCAAAUCCCAUGAGCUUAUGUAGCCUGGCACUACUAACCUAUUUAAAACCUGACUCUGUUUUUGUUUGGAUUGUGUAGUCCCACAUACAUCACCUCUUGGUUUGUUUCCCUGAACCAAUAAGAAGAACUUUUCUUAUAAUGUCAACUCAAUCUAUAUCAACCCUCUAAAAAAAUCAUAUAUGUCAUUCCCCAUUUCGAAGAGUUUUUAUUAUCUGAGCUGCUAACAACAUGUAAGUUGUAAGUACAAAGUUUACACCAAGAGAAAGUGGAUUGAAAAUACUUAUUUACAUAUGUGUAGAAUACACAUGUAAUGCAACUGUGAUUUGGAAUGCCAUGGGCCUAUCACAGAGUGGAUACAAAUAUAAGUGUUAUCAACUAUUUAGCAUAUAAAUAAAAAACAUUAGAAUGGAUAGUAAAAAGUCAUGGUUAAUAAUGAAUGUUCCGCAUAAAUCUUUUAAUAUUUCUUAAAUAUAUUGGGCAUUUAUAAUGAACCUUUCUUUAACUUGAGAAAUUGUGUCUGCUUUCAAAAAAAUGCCUAAUUCCCAUUUUGUUAUAACAGUUUUUAAAUUCUGAUGUAACAGAAAAAUUAAAAAACCCUGUAAGAGAUCUAAAUGUCUCAGUGUGUA
Long non-coding RNA from Acinonyx jubatus (cheetah), 1225 nucleotides. RefSeq lists it as uncharacterized. NCBI's taxonomy places the organism in Eukaryota, Metazoa, Chordata, Mammalia, Carnivora, Felidae. The transcript is spliced from 3 exons. The record is from RefSeq and is a predicted model, not a curated record.